RNAcentral lists this long non-coding RNA (1379 nucleotides) under Gouania willdenowi (blunt-snouted clingfish). RNAcentral describes it as "lncRNA (ENSGWIG00000023674.1)". The record is from RNAcentral. Lineage: Eukaryota; Metazoa; Chordata; Actinopteri; Blenniiformes; Gobiesocidae.
GCAUAAAUGAGUAAGUGACCAAGUUACUAAGUAUUUAAGUAACUAAGUAAGUAUAAGUAGUUACUUCCGCCAUCUGCGGAGUACAAUAGGCGUGACAAUGACAGAGCACGUACUGUAUGUGUCUGUCAGAGCUCAGUGUGCACUGGGUCAGCCUCGGAUAGCUUCACAUAAAGACUCCCUAAGCAAAGAAGUGAAUAACACAAAAACAUCCAAAAAGGAAACAGCCACCCCUGAUGUAGCAAAAGAUCAGUCCCAGAAGGAGAGCCAAGCAGCACCAACAACCACCGUUGCAGAGGUAUCCGAGCCGCCCACACCACCCAAAGGAAUGUCAAUCCCUCCACCACCUCCACCAGCUCCACCAAAGCUGGAAAUCAAAGAACCAGCGGCUAAAUGUUUGAAACCAACAACCAAAGAAGAACCAACUGCUGCGAAGAAACCAGAGUCCUCGCCUGGAAAAUCAGCUUUGAGCAAAUUCUUCCGUCCAAAGACCAUCAAAGAGGCCCCGCAGCCAGAGGUAGAGGUUACACCAGUAAUAGAGGAAACACCAGUGGAGGUGUCUGAGCCUGUGUUAGCGGUGCAGCAGAGCGACGAUAAGCUCCAUCUUCAGGAGGAGACAGCCGAGGAAAUACUUGUAACCCUGGAGCAGGUGGUUGAAGAUGUGCAGACGAUGAUUGAAGAUGAGAAGGUGGACCCUCCCAAAGCUGGCACUGUGGAGGCUGCAACGAAACCAGAACCGCCAGCAGCGGGUCAGGAAGAGAAGAAGACUGGCUCCAAAUUAGGCUUCAAGUCCCUCUUCAAGUCCAAACUCUGGAUUGGACUGGAGCACUUUCCGGGGUGUUCCAUCCCUCCUCCCCAAGUCAAGCUCUCAUUCCAUGGUGCGUCACCAAAGACAGCGUCUCCGACCCCCCCCACCUCACCAGCAGCACCAGCAGCUCCAGUUAAACCCAAGGAUGAAACCAAGUCUGCAGACACGGCUGCUGAUAGCAAAGCUGCGGCUGGGGCUGCUUCAGCGGCCGGAGACGACGCAGCCAAGGGCCUGAAAAAAGUGGAGAAGAGGAACUCCAUCACAGGGUUCUUUAAAAACCUGGUGAAGUGAAGGUUCAGAAACAUUCAGACUCCGGGGGUCAGACGGAGUAAACGCCCGCGGAGAAAACAAAAUUAAAAAAAACCAUCGCCACCAAACCCUCAAGCUUCAACGUACUCAACUCUACAAUUCCUCUGCACUCUACACUAUAUCUGCUCGGAUCAUGAAGAAAAAAGCUAUUUAAUGUAAAAUGUAAAACUGCAAACACAAGUUUUUGAUUAGAAACGCAUGAAGAGGUAAAAAGUGUCUUCUGUUAGUUUUAUAAUACAAUAAACUGGGCUUGUGGUUGUAAACA